RNAcentral lists this unclassified non-coding RNA (221 nucleotides) under uncultured Actinomycetes bacterium. RNAcentral describes it as "uncultured actinobacterium contains 16S-23S intergenic spacer region". Lineage: Bacteria; Bacillati; Actinomycetota; Actinomycetes. The record is from RNAcentral.
UCCGGCUUGGCGCCGGCAGUCUCCCUAGAGUCCCCACCAUUACGUGCUGGCAACUAAGGACGGGGGUUGCGCUCGUUGCGGGACUUAACCCAACACCUCACGGCACGAGCUGACGACAGCCAUGCACCACCUGUCAGGGGCCCUUACGGACACUGCAUCUCUGCAGCUUUUCCCCAGAUGUCAAGUCCAGGUAAGGUGGGGAUGACGUAGGAGGAAUUCCA